Suricata suricatta (meerkat) is the source of this 757-nucleotide long non-coding RNA. RefSeq lists it as uncharacterized. The record is from RefSeq and is a predicted model, not a curated record. The transcript is spliced from 3 exons. NCBI's taxonomy places the organism in Eukaryota, Metazoa, Chordata, Mammalia, Carnivora, Herpestidae.
CCACGUUACACCUUGGACACAGUCCUGGGUGGGGAGAAGCGUGCUGUGGGUGCCAGAGAGUUGGUGAUCAGCCAUGCCAGAACCUAGUCUUGGAAUGGACAGACGUGGAGGUGGCAUUAUGGAGGAGCCCCUGGAUUCCAGGUGCACAGGAAAAUGGAACUCUUGGCUGAUCUUAUUGUGAAGAUUAAGUGCACGCUGGUUGAAUAGAAGAGAAAUCCUACCUCGGGCAGACAAUGGGGUUUUAAAUGCCUCUCAGCAGCUGCUCACACACUAAAUGGUGUCCAUCAGGAUUGGACAACUGGAUGAAAUGAACAAUACCCACAUAAAUGAUGAAGAUGGUGACUACAUGGCCCUCCGGCGUGAUGACUCAACUAAUGGAAACAGCAAAUAUGUGAUUCUUCUGUCUGACUACAUUACUGGUGCUAACCGAGUAUGACGAUUCAUGCUCUUCUGGUUGGUCAUAUUCUCAGCCUGCCAAAAGGGGGGAAUUGUUAAAAUCAAAGAAAUAGACUGACCUUGAAAAUUCUCUGAGCAGACAAAACCAGUUUAGUCUUUGAAGCAAAGCUUAACUUAACACAUUUUGCAAGACGGUCUUGACAUGGGCCAUUUCUUGCUUAUGCUUCUGGAAAUCAAAAGCAAAGCUUAAACUGCUUCUCCAGGUUGAUAUGAGGUAGCCCCUGAUCAGUUCCCUAUCAUUUAAGAAAAUUCUAAUAUUCUAACCAAUCACCAUGAAGAAUAAAGUCACCGGUUUCUCUUC